This 308-nucleotide ribosomal RNA is filed under the name Escherichia coli. RNAcentral describes it as "partial 23S ribosomal RNA". It matches the Rfam family "Bacterial large subunit ribosomal RNA", at positions 2623 to 2925 of the family's 2925-position model. Lineage: Bacteria; Pseudomonadati; Pseudomonadota; Gammaproteobacteria; Enterobacterales; Enterobacteriaceae. The record is from RNAcentral.
GAGACAGUUCGGUCCCUAUCUGCCGUGGGCGCUGGAGAAUUGAGGGGGGCUGCUCCUAGUACGAGAGGACCGGAGUGGACGCAUCACUGGUGUUCGGGUUGUCAUGCCAAUGGCACUGCCCGGUAGCUAAAUGCGGAAGAGAUAAGUGCUGAAAGCAUCUAAGCACGAAACUUGCCCCGAGAUGAGUUCUCCCUGACUCCUUGAGAGUCCUGAAGGAACGUUGAAGACGACGACGUUGAUAGGCCGGGUGUGUAAGCGCAGCGAUGCGUUGAGCUAACCGGUACUAAUGAACCGUGAGGCUUAACCUU